This 66-nucleotide transfer RNA is filed under the name Staphylininae sp. 1 ACP-2013. Its description in RNAcentral is "tRNA-Trp". The record is from RNAcentral. Lineage: Eukaryota; Metazoa; Arthropoda; Insecta; Coleoptera; Staphylinidae.
UAAGGAUUUAAGUUAAAUUAAACUCGUAGCCUUCAAAGCUUCAAAUAAAGAAAAUCUUUAAGCCUU